RNAcentral lists this long non-coding RNA (415 nucleotides) under Mastacembelus armatus (zig-zag eel). Its description in RNAcentral is "lncRNA (ENSMAMG00000028296.1)". Lineage: Eukaryota; Metazoa; Chordata; Actinopteri; Synbranchiformes; Mastacembelidae. The record is from RNAcentral.
AAAGAUGUGGCCUGAGCUACAGUGGUAGGUGAGGAUUAAUUGAUGACGUGAGACUGAGUUGUUGCAGGAAACCACACACCGUUAAAAGCCCUAACCCUUCACAUUCUAUUAAACCUUACUCAUCCUCUGCGUCUCUCUUUUUCAGUCACACAAGAGUGCAAAACAUCUCUCCUUGAUGCUCAGUAAAAAUGGGAUUUUCUGACAGCACAAAUACGUCACACAAGAGUGCAAAACAUCUCUCCUUGAUGCUCAGUAAAAAUGGGAUUUUCUGACAGCACAAAUACGUCACACAAGAGUGCAAAACAUCUCUCCUUGAUGCUCAGUAAAAAUGGGAUUUUCUGACAGCACAAAUACGGUGAGUUAUUUGCACUAGUGACAACUAAAUGACUGUCAGUGUUGUCUUAGACGAUAAAAG